This 29-nucleotide non-coding RNA is filed under the name Rattus norvegicus (Norway rat). The record is from RNAcentral. Lineage: Eukaryota; Metazoa; Chordata; Mammalia; Rodentia; Muridae.
UAUCAAUAUUUUACCUUGUGCUGUACCCU